GUGCCAGCAGCCGCGGUAAGACGUAGGGUCCAAGCGUUGUCCGGAUUUACUGGGCGUAAAGAGCGCGUAGGCGGCUUGUUAAGUGUGGUGUGAAAUCUCCAGGGCUCAACCCGGAAACUGCACCGCAUACUGGCUAGCUUGAGUGAUGCAGAGGUUUGUGGAAUUCCAGGUGUAACGGUGAAAUGUGUUGAUAUCAGGAGGAACACCCAUGGCGAAGGCAGCAAACUGGGCAUCAACUGACGCUGAGGCGCGAAAGCGUGGGUAGCAAACAGGAUUAGAUACCCCGGUAGUCC
Molecule: ribosomal RNA, 293 nt
Filed under: uncultured bacterium
Lineage: Bacteria
Description: partial 16S ribosomal RNA
Rfam family: Bacterial small subunit ribosomal RNA
Source: RNAcentral